This 1441-nucleotide ribosomal RNA is filed under the name Lactiplantibacillus plantarum. Its description in RNAcentral is "bacterial SSU rRNA". It matches the Rfam family "Bacterial small subunit ribosomal RNA". Lineage: Bacteria; Bacillati; Bacillota; Bacilli; Lactobacillales; Lactobacillaceae. The record is from RNAcentral.
AAAUACUGCAGUCGACGAACUCUGGUAUUGAUUGGUGCUUGCAUCAUGAUUUACAUUUGAGUGAGGGGGGAACUGGUGAGUAACACGUGGGAAACCUGCCCAGAAGCGGGGGAUAACACCUGGAAACAGAUGCUAAUACCGCAUAACAACUUGGACCGCAUGGUCCGAGCUUGAAAGAUGGCUUCGGCUAUCACUUUUGGAUGGUCCCGCGGCGUAUUAGCUAGAUGGUGGGGUAACGGCUCACCAUGGCAAUGAUACGUAGCCGACCUGAGAGGGUAAUCGGCCACAUUGGGACUGAGACACGGCCCAAACUCCUACGGGAGGCAGCAGUAGGGAAUCUUCCACAAUGGACGAAAGUCUGAUGGAGCAACGCCGCGUGAGUGAAGAAGGGUUUCGGCUCGUAAAACUCUGUUGUUAAAGAAGAACAUAUCUGAGAGUAACUGUUCAGGUAUUGACGGUAUUUAACCAGAAAGCCACGGCUAACUACGUGCCAGCAGCCGCGGUAAUACGUAGGUGGCAAGCGUUGUCCGGAUUUAUUGGGCGUAAAGCGAGCGCAGGCGGUUUUUUAAGUCUGAUGUGAAAGCCUUCGGCUCAACCGAAGAAGUGCAUCGGAAACUGGGAAACUUGAGUGCAGAAGAGGACAGUGGAACUCCAUGUGUAGCGGUGAAAUGCGUAGAUAUAUGGAAGAACACCAGUGGCGAAGGCGGCUGUCUGGUCUGUAACUGACGCUGAGGCUCGAAAGUAUGGGUAGCAAACAGGAUUAGAUACCCUGGUAGUCCAUACCGUAAACGAUGAAUGCUAAGUGUGGGAGGGUUUCCGCCCUUUCAGUGCUGCAGCUAACGCAUUAAGCAUUCCGCCUGGGGAGUACGGCCGCAAGGCUGAAACUCAAAGGAAUUGACGGGGGCCCGCACAAGCGGUGGAGCAUGUGGUUUAAUUCGAAGCUACGCGAAGAACCUUACCAGGUCUUGACAUACUAUGCAAAUCUAAGAGAUUAGACGUUCCCUUCGGGGACAUGGAUACAGGUGGUGCAUGGUUGUCGUCAGCUCGUGUCGUGAGAUGUUGGGUUAAGUCCCGCAACGAGCGCAACCCUUAUUAUCAGUUGCCAGCAUUAAGUUGGGCACUCUGGUGAGACUGCCGGUGACAAACCGGAGGAAGGUGGGGAUGACGUCAAAUCAUCAUGCCCCUUAUGACCUGGGCUACACACGUGCUACAAUGGAUGGUACAACGAGUUGCGAACUCGCGAGAGUAAGCUAAUCUCUUAAAGCCAUUCUCAGUUCGGAUUGUAGGCUGCAACUCGCCUACAUGAAGUCGGAAUCGCUAGUAAUCGCGGAUCAGCAUGCCGCGGUGAAUACGUUCCCGGGCCUUGUACACACCGCCCGUCACACCAUGAGAGUUUGUAACACCCAAAGUCGGUGGGGUAACCUUUUAGGAACCAGCCGCU